Molecule: transfer RNA, 73 nt
Filed under: Ovis aries (sheep)
Lineage: Eukaryota; Metazoa; Chordata; Mammalia; Artiodactyla; Bovidae
Rfam family: tRNA
About the family: Transfer RNA (tRNA) molecules are approximately 80 nucleotides in length. Their secondary structure includes four short double-helical elements and three loops (D, anti-codon, and T loops).
Source: Rfam by way of RNAcentral
UCCCUGGUGGUCCAGUGGCUAACAGUACAUACUCCCAAUGCAGGGGACCCAGGUUCAAUCCCUGGCCAGGGAA